GAUGAACGCUGGCGGCGUGCUUAACACAUGCAAGUCGAACGGACAGGCCCUGCUUUUGUGGGGUGCUCGAGUGGCGAACGGGUGAGUAACACGUGAGUAACCUGCCCUUGACUUUGGGAUAACUUCAGGAAACUGGGGCUAAUACCGGAUAGGAUCUCCUGCUGCAUGGUGGGGGUUGGAAAGUUUCGGCGGUUGGGGAUGGACUCGCGGCUUAUCAGCUUGUUGGUGGGGUAGUGGCUUACCAAGGCUGCGACGGAUAGCCGGCCUGAGAGGUGGAACGGCGACAUGGGGACUGAGAUACGGCGCAGACGCCUACGGGAGGCAGCAGUGGGGAAUAUGGCACAAUGGGCGGAAGCCUGAUGCAGCAACGCCGCGUGCGGGAUAACGGGCUACUGGUGGAGAACCGAUUUCGCAGGUGACGAAGAGUGAGUGACGGUAAUGGGUAAAGAAGCACCGGCUAACUACGUG
Molecule: ribosomal RNA, 468 nt
Filed under: uncultured bacterium
Lineage: Bacteria
Description: partial 16S ribosomal RNA
Rfam family: Bacterial small subunit ribosomal RNA
Source: RNAcentral